This 247-nucleotide long non-coding RNA is filed under the name Amphimedon queenslandica. RNAcentral's name for it is "uncharacterized LOC109590271". Lineage: Eukaryota; Metazoa; Porifera; Demospongiae; Haplosclerida; Niphatidae. The record is from RNAcentral.
GAAAAGAUUAUAGAAAAGGUUAGAGAGAUGUAACGAGAUUACUAGAAUAUACAAAGUUUUACUAGGUCAUGACGAGUGGGUGGGUCAUCGAACCUUAUCACUAUAAAGAAAAACUACUCACACAAGUCAUGUAUCUUGUUCAGGUUGAUAUGGGAGGAGUACCAGCAACACUGGUUAAUAUCGUGUCAAGACGUCAGCCGUUAGCAGUUGCAUAUUUAUGUGAUUAUUUAGAAACAACUAGUUUAAA